GUCUACAAAUGUACCUGCCCUUCCAUAUCAUUUAUACCAAGAUUGAUCCGGUGAAAAUACCAAGCAGACAUCUUGUGAUACAAUUACUGUACACCCGAAUGGAGUAUAUUUACGAAGUUUCCGAGCAGAAUUCCUACUUGAGGCAUGCAGCGGUGUUAUGAACGCGGUAUUCGGAAAAAUUAAUAAAACGAUGUAAAA
Papilio machaon (common yellow swallowtail) is the source of this 198-nucleotide long non-coding RNA. RefSeq lists it as uncharacterized. The transcript has 4 exons. The record is from RefSeq and is a predicted model, not a curated record. NCBI's taxonomy places the organism in Eukaryota, Metazoa, Arthropoda, Insecta, Lepidoptera, Papilionidae.